UAUUUUUUAUUGACUGUUGAUCUUCUUGCCUCAGAUUCUUAUGGAUGGCACAUGGCUUCUCCUCCCUUGGAUGUAGCAAAUUGAUGAAAACCAUUAGAUGCUCUUCCUAGCUCUUGAAUGUAUUUGAGUUCAAGCUGGAUUAGACCAAAUUAAGCCUAAUUGAAUCCAAUCUUCAAUUUACCUGCAAAAUGAGUUGGAAAACAUCAAAUUCAAACUAGUACAUGUUAAUUAAUGAUGUUUUGAGUGUGUUUAAUAUAUUAAUUUAAGUAUUGAUCAGUUGGAU
Molecule: long non-coding RNA, 283 nt
Filed under: Elaeis guineensis (African oil palm)
Lineage: Eukaryota; Viridiplantae; Streptophyta; Magnoliopsida; Arecales; Arecaceae
Description: long non-coding RNA (EGUI_LNC047958)
Source: RNAcentral